CUGGCUCAGGAUGAACGCUGGCGGCGUGCUUAACACAUGCAAGUCGAACGGAGUUAGAUGAAAGCUUGCUUUGACUAAACUAGUGGCGGACGGGUGAGUAACGCGUGGGUAACCUGCCUUAUACAGGGGGAUAACAGUCGGAAACGACUGCUAAUACCGCAUAAGCGCACGGAAUCGCAUGAUUCAGUGUGAAAAAGAUUUAUCGGUAUAAGAUGGACCCGCGUCUGAUUAGCUAGUUGGUGAGGUAACGGCCCACCAAGGCGACGAUCAGUAGCCGGCCUGAGAGGGUGAACGGCCACAUUGGGACUGAGACACGGCCCAAACUCCUACGGGAGGCAGCAGUGGGGAAUAUUGCACAAUGGGGGAAACCCUGAUGCAAGUGACGCCGCGUGAGUGAAGAAGUAUUUCGGUAUGUAAAGCUCUAUCAGCAGGGAAGAAAAUGACGGUACCUGACUAAGAAGCCCCGGCUAACUACGUGCCAGCAGCCGC
RNAcentral lists this ribosomal RNA (489 nucleotides) under uncultured bacterium. Its description in RNAcentral is "bacterial SSU rRNA". It matches the Rfam family "Bacterial small subunit ribosomal RNA", at positions 19 to 518 of the family's 1533-position model. The record is from RNAcentral.